AGGACGAACGCUGGCGGCGUGCUUAACACAUGCAAGUCGAGCGGUGACGCUCCUUCGGGAGCUGAUCAGCGGCGAACGGGUGAGUAACACGUGGGCAACCUGCCCCUAACACUGGGAUAACCUCGGGAAACCGGGGCUAAUACCGGAUAUGACUUCGAGCGGCAUCGCUUGAAGUGCAAAGCUCCGACGGUUAGGGAUGGGCCCGCGGCCUAUCAGCUUGUUGGUGGGGUAAUGGCCUACCAAGGCGACGACGGGUA
Molecule: ribosomal RNA, 257 nt
Filed under: uncultured bacterium
Lineage: Bacteria
Description: partial small subunit ribosomal RNA
Rfam family: Bacterial small subunit ribosomal RNA
Source: RNAcentral